CUAAAGUAUACUGUAGGUAUAUUUUUUAGUGGCUACGUGGCUACGCGGCUACGCAGUGAGUUUUUAUAAAAGAACGAGAAAUUGGUAUAAUGACGUAAUUAUUAAAGUAUACUGUAGGUAUAUUUUUUAGUGGCUACGUGGCUACGUGGCUACGCAGUGAGUUUUUAUAAAAGGAAGAGACAUUGAUAUAAUGACGUAAUUACUAAAGUAUAAUACUGUAGGUAUAUUUUUUAGUGGCUACGUGGCUACG
This is a non-coding RNA of Paramuricea clavata, 250 nucleotides long. NCBI's taxonomy places the organism in Eukaryota, Metazoa, Cnidaria, Anthozoa, Malacalcyonacea, Plexauridae. The record is from the annotation of a GenBank genome assembly.